AAUAUCAGAAUUAGAGUGCUUAUAAUUGCUAAAAAUAGAGAAAACAUUAAGUGACAGGUUACAUAGGCUAUGAUAUAACCAAGGAUAGAAUGAGUGAACUGGAAGAUAGAACUGACGAAAUGAUAUGGAAAGAAUGUAGCUAAAAAGAUGGAAAAUAUGAAAAAGGAGUUAAGAGACACAGGUUAUACACAAUGUGAAUUCCAUCAGGGCAGAAUAUUGGUUUUGGUCACUGAGGCAUCCCAAGGGCCUAGAACAAGAUCUAGCACAGUUGUUCCUGAAACCUAGAACACCCCCCCCUCAAAAAAGAGAAUACCAAGGGGAGGGGAGAGGAAAUGUCCA
Molecule: long non-coding RNA, 339 nt
Filed under: Homo sapiens (human)
Lineage: Eukaryota; Metazoa; Chordata; Mammalia; Primates; Hominidae
Description: non-protein coding lnc-KAT2B-5:1
Source: RNAcentral